Picea glauca (white spruce) is the source of this 46-nucleotide non-coding RNA. NCBI's taxonomy places the organism in Eukaryota, Viridiplantae, Streptophyta, Pinopsida, Pinales, Pinaceae. The record is from Rfam.
UUAACGGUGUCUUUAGACACCACCCUUAUCUUCAAAAAAUUGUGUU